GUAAUCCGAUGUAGUGUAGGGGUUAUCACUGUGCUCUUUCAAGUUCCAAUUUGGGAGAACAGCACUAACGGGGGUUCGAAUCCCCCCAUCGGAGU
Penicillium egyptiacum is the source of this 95-nucleotide non-coding RNA. NCBI's taxonomy places the organism in Eukaryota, Fungi, Ascomycota, Eurotiomycetes, Eurotiales, Aspergillaceae. The record is from the annotation of a GenBank genome assembly.